AGUCGAGGGGCAGCAUAAUGGAUAGCAAUAUCUAUGGUGGCGACCGGCGCACGGGUGCGUAACGCGUAUGCAACCUACCUUUAACAGGGGGAUAACACUGAGAAAUUGGUACUAAUACCCCAUAGUAUCAUAGAAGGCAUCUUUUAUGGUUGAAAAUUCCGAUGGUUAGAGAUGGGCAUGCGUUGUAUUAGCUAGUUGGUGGGGUAACGGCUCACCAAGGCGACGAUACAUAGGGGGACUGAGAGGUUAACCCCCCACACUGGUACUGAGACACGGACCAGACUCCUACGGGAGGCAGCAGUGAGGAAUAUUGGUCAAUGGACGCAAGUCUGAACCAGCCAUGCCGCGUGCAGGAUGACGGCUCUAUGAGUUGUAAACUGCUUUUGUACGAGGGUAAACGCAGAUACGUGUAUCUGUCUGAAAGUAUCGUACGAAUAAGGAUCGGCUAACUCCGUGCCAGCAGCCGCGGUAAUACGGAGGAUUCAAGCGUUAUCCGGAUUUAUUGGGUUUAAAGGGUGCGUAGGCGGUUUGAUAAGUUAGAGGUGAAAUUUCGGGGCUCAACCCUGAACGUGCCUCUAAUACUGUUGAGCUAGAGAGUAGUUGCGGUAGGCGGAAUGUAUGGUGUAGCGGUGAAAUGCUUAGAGAUCAUACAGAACACCGAUUGCGAAGGCAGCUUACCAAACUAUAUCUGA
This 692-nucleotide ribosomal RNA is filed under the name uncultured bacterium. RNAcentral describes it as "bacterial SSU rRNA". It matches the Rfam family "Bacterial small subunit ribosomal RNA", at positions 60 to 743 of the family's 1533-position model. The record is from RNAcentral.